This 190-nucleotide ribosomal RNA is filed under the name Bacteroides uniformis. Its description in RNAcentral is "partial 16S ribosomal RNA". It matches the Rfam family "Bacterial small subunit ribosomal RNA", at positions 1352 to 1533 of the family's 1533-position model. The record is from RNAcentral. Lineage: Bacteria; Pseudomonadati; Bacteroidota; Bacteroidia; Bacteroidales; Bacteroidaceae. RNAcentral also lists the same sequence under 1 other name.
GCAUGCCGCGGUGAAUACGUUCCCGGGCCUUGUACACACCGCCCGUCACACCACGAGAGUUUGUAACACCCGAAGUCGGUGAGGUAACCUUUUAGGAGCCAGCCGCCGAAGGUGGGACAGAUGAUUGGGGUGAAGUCGUAACAAGGUAGCCGUAUCGGAAGGUGCGGCUGGAUCACCUCCUUUCUAAGGA